Long non-coding RNA from Gasterosteus aculeatus aculeatus (three-spined stickleback), 471 nucleotides. The record is from Ensembl. Lineage: Eukaryota; Metazoa; Chordata; Actinopteri; Perciformes; Gasterosteidae.
CCACGAUGAACUUCCGCACAGGAAGAGGAGAUUCCUGCAAGGAAGGCCGGGAGGAUCAGGAACGGCCCUGGGCAUCACUUGUCCUCUGGCUUAGCUAAAGACACUGAAAACAGCAGUGUGUGCGCGUGUGAGGGGGCUUAGGGCCGCGUGGGCUCCUCUGGCGUCGUGCUGGAUGUAUGCAGGCCAACAAGGGUUAGGGAGAGAUUUGGACGUGUCCCCGUGCGCGUGUCCACUUAGGAGACACAUUUGUGCGUGCUACUGCCUGCGUGCAUUUUUAUAGAUGACCAAAAAGAGUGAUGUUCAAAGACCUUCAAGUAGGAUGCCAAGUGCCAACCGCUGUGCCGGACUGUUUGCUUUGCUUCUCCCUCUGCAGCCGUAAAAAUGAAGGGAAAUAAUCAGGAGAUAACCCACCACGCCACGCAUUCCUUCUCCUUUGUUCACUUUUAUCCCUCCGUUGGGUGGUGGUGGGGG